UAUGUGAUCGUCUCUCGCAUAUCAAUAAGCGGAGGAAAAGAAACUAACAAGGAUUCCCCUAGUAACGGCGAGUGAAGCGGGAAGAGCUCAAAUUUGAAAUCUUAAAGGGUUUCCCUUUACGAAUUGUAGUUUAAAGAAGUGUUUUCUGUUGAGGUUUUGGUAAAAGUUCUUUGGAAUAGGACAUCAUAGAGGGUGAGAAUCCCGUAUUUGACCUUUACUUUCAACUUUGUGAUACACUUUCAAAGAGUCGGAUUGUUUGGGAAUGCAGUCCAAAAUGGGUGGUAAAUUCCAUCUAAAGCUAAAUAUUGGCGAGAGACCGAUAGCGAACAAGUACCGUGAGGGAAAGAUGAAAAGAACUUUGAAAAGAGAGUUAAACAGUACGUGAAAUUGUCAAAAGGGAAGCGUUUGACACCAGUGUUGUUUUUCUGAAAAUCAAUUAAAGAACUGUUUAUGCUAAGUUGUUUAGACUUUAUCAGCUAACUGUUUAGUUUUGAGCUUUUCUUUAAUGCACUUUUCAGUUAACAAGUCAACAUCAAUUUCUUUUGCUGUAAAAAAGCUUGAGGAAGGUGGCUUGAGAUUCGUCUUAAGUGUUUAUAGCCUCUUGCCUAUGCAGUCGGAGAGAUUGAGGUCUGCAGCGUAGAUCCUUCGGGGCUAAAUGCAUUUGUGCUAAGUUAUAGCAUUUUAUAGACAACUUGUUGACUAUGAUUUGUCUUGUAGCUUACUCGCUUAUGUUAUUUUACCUACGCUUAGGAUGUUGAGUCGUAGAGCACGCAG
RNAcentral lists this ribosomal RNA (774 nucleotides) under uncultured Neocallimastigales. RNAcentral's name for it is "partial large subunit ribosomal RNA". It matches the Rfam family "Eukaryotic large subunit ribosomal RNA", at positions 24 to 628 of the family's 3401-position model. Lineage: Eukaryota; Fungi; Neocallimastigomycota; Neocallimastigomycetes; Neocallimastigales. The record is from RNAcentral.